AUUGCUUCUCGGCCUUUUGGCUAAGAUCAAGUGUAGUAUCUGUUCUUAUCAGUUUAAUAUCUGAUACGUCCUCUAUCCGAGGGAAAAAAAAUAAAAAAUACACAAA
Molecule: small nuclear RNA, 106 nt
Filed under: Bos grunniens (domestic yak)
Lineage: Eukaryota; Metazoa; Chordata; Mammalia; Artiodactyla; Bovidae
Description: U2 spliceosomal RNA (ENSBGRG00000025448.1)
Rfam family: U2 spliceosomal RNA
About the family: U2 is a small nuclear RNA (snRNA) component of the spliceosome (involved in pre-mRNA splicing). Complementary binding between U2 snRNA (in an area lying towards the 5' end but 3' to hairpin I) and the branchpoint sequence (BPS) of the intron results the bulging out of an unpaired adenosine, on the BPS, which initiates a nucleophilic attack at the intronic 5' splice site, thus starting the first of two transesterification reactions that mediate splicing.
Source: Rfam by way of RNAcentral